This 253-nucleotide ribosomal RNA is filed under the name uncultured bacterium. RNAcentral describes it as "partial 16S ribosomal RNA". It matches the Rfam family "Bacterial small subunit ribosomal RNA", at positions 524 to 776 of the family's 1533-position model. The record is from RNAcentral.
UACGUAGGGUGCAAGCGUUAAUCGGAAUUACUGGGCGUAAAGCGUGCGCAGGCGGCUUCUCAAGUCAGGGGUGAAAACCCAGAGCUCAACUCUGGAAUUGCCUUUGAGACUGAGUGGCUUGAGUACGAGAGAGGUGAGUGGAAUUCCCAGUGUAGAGGUGAAAUUCGUAGAUAUUGGGAAGACCACCGGUGGCGAAGGCGGCUCACUGGCUCGUAACUGACGCUCAUGCACGACAGCGUGGGGAUCAAACAGG